Nicotiana tabacum (common tobacco) is the source of this 3435-nucleotide non-coding RNA. The record is from RefSeq and is a predicted model, not a curated record. Lineage: Eukaryota; Viridiplantae; Streptophyta; Magnoliopsida; Solanales; Solanaceae.
ACUUAAGAAGGCUUAAUUAAUAUUUUUGAUAAUAUUGCUAUAUGGAUAGACUUUUAGUUAAUUAAGCUAAUUUUAAACAUAGCUAGUCAUAAAUGCCCAAGUUUCUAGCCCAUUCCUUAAGCUUAAUAUCCAAUACCCAUUAAGUUAAUCCUAGGAACCUUUCUAGACUCUUCUUUGGAACAGAAAAUAAAUAAAAAGGCCCUAAGGACUUAACAUAAAAAGACCUAGGGACUAAUUGUCAAAAUACACAAAAAAACACAUUAAACCUAGACCUAUAUUAGGUAACGCCUAAUACACUAAAAAGGGGAGAUGAGAGAAUCAACGCAGCUUUUUGAAAAAGAGACCCUCCCGUUCGUCUUCUUCUUCACAAAUCAACAACCAGAGAGACCCCCCAGUCACGUCUUUAUCUUCUUCAACCCUUACACACCCUAAUCCCCCUUGUUUCUUUGUCUCCACCUCAAAACCAGUCAAAGCAGCCAUUAAAAUUAACCCCAAACAGUCACAAAAAAUCGGUAAAUGGUUGUUUCCUUCAGCUGAAUUUAAAAAGGAAUUCGAAAAGGUCGAGUCCAAAGUAUAUUGUGUCAUCGGGGUUCGAGUUUCUGCCCGUCGAUGUUUCGGACUUGUUGAAGUCUCAUUACUGUUGAAGUUGUCGAAUCUGCUAGGUUAUCUGGUUCAGAGCUAUGGAUUUGUGCUCUAGUUGCUAUUGUUGUUGAUCUUCCUUACAAAUAGAAGUCGGAGCUGUUUGCGGUUGUUUCUCCUGCAAUUAGUAGCUGAACACCCAUUUGAAGUUAUUUUCGGCCUUUAUUUGACUAUUUUAAAGUCUUACUACUGCUGUCCAGAAAUUUUCAUAUAUAAAAAGCUGUUUUGGAGCCGUGGAAUUGCCGCUCGUUGUCCGUUGAUUUGCGUUGUCAUUACACAGUUUCUCGUUGCUGUUCUAUUGCUAUGGAGCUUCAUUUGUUUUUAAUUUCAUACUUUAUUUGAUUAAUUUCUGCCGGAAAAAGGAAAUGACUGGAGUUGUGUACUGCAUUUGGAGCUGUGUAGUCAAAUGCAUUUGCUGAAGAACCCGAAAUCACUGCGUGAGAUCCGCUGGUUCUCAUCGGAAUUUUGGGAGUCAAAUGUAAAGUAGUGGCUGACUAUUUCUACUUCUAUCAAGGAGAUAUUCGCUGGAACAGAAUGAGCACGAGUUAAAAUUUGCCAAUGAAGGUCAUGACCAAGAUUCCGUUGGAACUACACAUAUGGUAAGAAUAUUUAGGUGGGCAAGGACGAGAUACAGUCAACCAUUACUUGGGGGGCUCACCGGUUUACUAAAGACCAGGACCAUGGGAGAUAUAAUCAAAGCACUAGUAAGAUUCUGGGAUCCAGCUCACAAUGUUCUGCAUUUUUCGGACUUUGAACUUACAUCCACUUUGUAGGAGAUAGCGGGAUAUGCCGGGAGUAUCGAGGGUCAAAGACACAAGUACUUGGUCGCUUCAAGGGUCGUUACCCCUCACAAGUUUCUGGAUUUGUUGAAAAUAAGCAUGGGGGUCCAGUAUGCAGAUUUGGCAGCGGGGUUUUCCACUCUAAGCUUCAUAUACCAGCGGUACGGACAUGUAGGACGGUUUGAAAAUCUGGAAAGCAGAAUCUGCAGUAAAGGGAAUCGAUCAAAAUGGGAAGAGCAUAGAUGUUUCGCCUUUAUGGUAGCAAUUCUGGGUCUUCUAGUGUUUCCCAAGAAGGACGAGAAUAUUGAUUUGCGGGUAGCCGGAGUUGUCAACACUUUGAUUACUAACGCUAAAAGCACCCUCGCACCUAUGAUAGUGUCUGAAAUAUUUCGAGCCCUCACAGCCUACAAAGAUGGAGUAGAUUAUUUUGAAGGGUGCAAUCUGUUGCUACAAAUAUAGAUGAUUGAGCAUUUAUGUCAUCGCCCUCAGUACAUGAACUAUGGGUCGACAAGGAAAAAUUGCAUAGAGGAGUUUUAUACAAGGGUCAACAGGUUCAAGAUGCCGGAAGGGGUCGCAGAUUGGAUAUCCUACCUCCGUUCCAUAUAUGCUGAUAAAAUAGAGUGGACGUUGGGUUGGCUUCCUGUUGAUGAAAUUAUAUACAUGCCUGCCACCAGUCCCCACUUCCUCCUGAUGGGUCUCAGAAGUAUCCAUCCUUAUGCCCCGUACCGGGUUUUGAGACAGCUGGGAAGAUGCCAAAUAAUUCCAAAGGAUGAAGACCUUAGCACUCAUGCAGUCAAGAUCCAUUUUGAUGGCCAAUUUCAUGAAGUGGCGGUUCGCCAGAUCUGGAGUGAAUGCCAGUACAUGACAACAAACACCCGAGUGCUUGAUCUAUCCAAGGGUGAAGUCUCGUCUGGUUAACUUGCUUGGUAUAAAAGAAGUGUUGAGUUUGGAAGACCAGCCAAAAAACCCCAUCUUCAAGAAUUUGUCGAAGCUUCACAAGAAUAAUGGGACUGGUUGGCCAAAGAAAAUGAGUAUAGGGCCACCAUAAGCAAGCUGGAAAAGCAAGUCAAAGAUCUUCAAUUUGAGAAUGGUUUGCAAGCCGCUGCGGAUGAGGGUGAAAAGAAAAGGCUAGCCAAAGAAAAUGAUGCCCUCCGAGCCCAAAUCUAAGAGAUAAAGAUAGCCACUGAGAACCCCGCCAGGAGUGAGAAAGAUAAGAAACUUAUAGACAACCUUAGGCAGAAGGUAGGUGACUACGGAUUUGACUUGGGAAAGACUGAAGCUGAACUAGCACAGGCUCGAGCAAAGUUAGCUAAGAAUGCAGAUGGGCGGGCGAAUUUUGUUCGACAGCUGAAGAAAAAGUACGACAAAGGAAUCAUGGGUCUGAAGAAAAGGGUCAAUGUCCUUGAGAACGAAAUGACCAAGUAGGCAAGAGAUUUCAAAGCAGAAAGAGAACAUUGCUAUGCCCUGAUGCCGCAGCUAGAGAAAGACCUGCAGCAGCUUCAAGAGCAAAAUCAGACAACCGAACAAGUUUUGGGGGCCAGAUCUCAGCAUAUCAGAUAGUUGCUACAAGAGAAGGGUAUUAUCAGGGAGAGGGUUAGGAGGAUUGCGGACUACAUUGUGAUAAAGUGCAACGAAUGCGAGGACAUGACCAGGUCCAUGUUCUUCGCUUCAGUUAUGAUUUUUGUCUGGCAGAUCAUGGAUGACCUAUUUCGCCUCUAAGAAGAUAUGGCGCAUAGGCCCGCGGCGAGACCGAUUGAUGUCCCGCGGGACCCUGGAGCAGCAGUUGAGGCACUCAUGUAUUUCUGAUUUUAUUGUUCGAGUCUGUAUUUUCAGUUUCUUUUGGAGUUCGUUAGUCCACUUUCGAGUCUGUAUUUCAUUUUUUCUUUUGGAGUCUGUUAGUCCACCUUUCGAGUCUGCUAGUUUUUAUGUUUAAUUCUGUAGGAGAAGUCGUCAUAAUCAGGAUGUUUUUGUUUUAUUUUAUGAAAAUUUGAAAACCCAAAAAAUGUAUCUUCUUUUA